GGCGAACGGGUGAGUAAUGUAUCGGAACGUACCUUUCAGUGGGGGAUAACGUAGCGAAAGUUACGCUAAUACCGCAUAUUCUGUGAGCAGGAAAGCAGGGGAUCGCAAGACCUUGCGCUGAUUGAGCGGCCGAUAUCAGAUUAGCUAGUUGGUGAGGUAAAGGCUCACCAAGGCGACGAUCUGUAGCGGGUCUGAGAGGAUGAUCCGCCACACUGGAACUGAGACACGGUCCAGACUCCUACGGGAGGCAGCAGUGGGGAAUUUUGGACAAUGGGGGCAACCCUGAUCCAGCCAUGCCGCGUGAGUGAAGAAGGCCUUCGGGUUGUAAAGCUCUUUCAGCCGGGAAGAAAUCACAUGGGUUAAUACCCUGUGUGGAUGACGGUACCGGAAUAAGAAGCACCGGCUAACUACGUGCCAGCAGCCGCGGUAAUACGUAGGGUGCGAGCGUUAAUCGGAAUUACUGGGCGUAAAGCGUGCGCAGGCGGUUUGUUAAGAUAGGCGUGAAAUCCCCGGGCUCAACCUGGGAACUGCGUUUAUGACUGGCAGGCUAGAGUAUGGCAGAGGGGGGUGGAAUUCCACGUGUAGCAGUGAAAUGCGUAGAGAUGUGGAGGAACACCGAUGGCGAAGGCAGCCCCCUGGGCCAAUACUGACGCUCAUGCACGAAAGCGUGGGUAGCAAACAGGAUUAGAUACCCUGGUAGUCCACGCCCUAAACGAUGUCAACUAGGUGUUGGGUGGGUAAAACCAUUUAGUACCGGAGCUAACGCGUGAAGUUGACCGCCUGGGGAGUACGGCCGCAAGGUUAAAACUCAAAGGAAUUGACGGGGACCCGCACAAGCGGUGGAUGAUGGUGGAUUAAUUCGAUGCAACGCGAAAACCUUACCUACCCUUGACAUUGUCCAGAAGCUCUUAGAGAUUUGAGUGUGCCCGAAAGGGAGACUUGGAACACAGUGCUGCAUGCCGUCGUCAGCUCGUGUCGUGGAGGAUGUUUGGGUUAAGUCCCGCAACGAGCGCACCUUGUUCAUUAGUUGCUACGAAAGGCACUCUAUGAA
This 1051-nucleotide ribosomal RNA is filed under the name uncultured bacterium. RNAcentral's name for it is "bacterial SSU rRNA". It matches the Rfam family "Bacterial small subunit ribosomal RNA", at positions 97 to 1146 of the family's 1533-position model. The record is from RNAcentral.